This 1367-nucleotide ribosomal RNA is filed under the name Salmonella enterica subsp. enterica serovar Infantis. Its description in RNAcentral is "partial 23S ribosomal RNA". It matches the Rfam family "Bacterial large subunit ribosomal RNA", at positions 161 to 1566 of the family's 2925-position model. The record is from RNAcentral. Lineage: Bacteria; Pseudomonadati; Pseudomonadota; Gammaproteobacteria; Enterobacterales; Enterobacteriaceae.
AAUCCAUAGGUUAAUGAGGCGAACCGGGGGAACUGAAACAUCUAAGUACCCCGAGGAAAAGAAAUCAACCGAGAUUCCCCCAGUAGCGGCGAGCGAACGGGGAGGAGCCCAGAGCCUGAAUCAGCAUGUGUGUUAGUGGAAGCGUCUGGAAAGGCGCGCGAUACAGGGUGACAGCCCCGUACACAAAAGCGCAUGUGCUGUGAGCUCGAUGAGUAGGGCGGGACACGUGGUAUCCUGUCUGAAUAUGGGGGGACCAUCCUCCAAGGCUAAAUACUCCUGACUGACCGAUAGUGAACCAGUACCGUGAGGGAAAGGCGAAAAGAACCCCGGCGAGGGGAGUGAAAAAGAACCUGAAACCGUGUACGUACAAGCAGUGGGAGCACAGGUUUACCUGUGUGACUGCGUACCUUUUGUAUAAUGGGUCAGCGACUUAUAUUCUGUAGCAAGGUUAACCGAAUAGGGGAGCCGGAGGGAAACCGAGUCUUAAUUGGGCGUUAAGUUGCAGGGUAUAGACCCGAAACCCGGUGAUCUAGCCAUGGGCAGGUUGAAGGUUGGGUAACACUAACUGGAGGACCGAACCGACUAAUGUUGAAAAAUUAGCGGAUGACCUGUGGCUGGGGGUGAAAGGCCAAUCAAACCGGGAGAUAGCUGGUUCUCCCCGAAAGCUAUUUAGGUAGCGCCUCGUGAAUUCAUCUCCGGGGGUAGAGCACUGUUUCGGCUAGGGGGCCAUCCCGGCUUACCAACCCGAUGCAAACUGCGAAUACCGGAGAAUGUUAUCACGGGAGACACACGGCGGGUGCUAACGUCCGUCGUGAAGAGGGAAACAACCCAGACCGCCAGCUAAGGUCCCAAAGUCAUGGUUAAGUGGGAAACGAUGUGGGAAGGCCCAGACAGCCAGGAUGUUGGCUUAGAAGCAGCCAUCAUUUAAAGAAAGCGUAAUAGCUCACUGGUCGAGUCGGCCUGCGCGGAAGAUGUAACGGGGCUAAACCAUGCACCGAAGCUGCGGCAGCGACACUCAGGUGUUGUUGGGUAGGGGAGCGUUCUGUAAGCCUGCGAAGGUGGCCUGUGAGGGUUGCUGGAGGUAUCAGAAGUGCGAAUGCUGACAUAAGUAACGAUAAAGCGGGUGAAAAGCCCGCUCGCCGGAAGACCAAGGGUUCCUGUCCAACGUUAAUCGGGGCAGGGUGAGUCGACCCCUAAGGCGAGGCCGAAAGGCGUAGUCGAUGGGAAACGGGUUAAUAUUCCCGUACUUGGUGUUACUGCGAAGGGGGGACGGAGAAGGCUAUGUUGGCCGGGCGACGGUUGUCCCGGUUUAAGCGUGUAGGUGUGUGUUCCAGGUAAAUCCGGUUCACUUUAACACUGAGGCGUGA